This 167-nucleotide transfer RNA is filed under the name Cronartium ribicola 11-2. Its description in RNAcentral is "tRNA-Und (NNN) (tRNA-Und-NNN-133-1)". The stretch from base 77 to 167 matches the Rfam family "tRNA". From Rfam's summary of the family: Transfer RNA (tRNA) molecules are approximately 80 nucleotides in length. Their secondary structure includes four short double-helical elements and three loops (D, anti-codon, and T loops). Lineage: Eukaryota; Fungi; Basidiomycota; Pucciniomycetes; Pucciniales; Coleosporiaceae. The record is from RNAcentral.
GGUCAGGUAGCCUAGCGGUUAAGGCAGCCCAUGCGUGGGUCAGGUUGCCUAUAGCGGUUAAGGCAGCCCAUGCGCGGGUCAGGUAGCCUAUAGCGGUUAAGGCAGCCCAUGCGUGUUGGGUCCGGAUCCAUUGGAUCUGGUUGCUGGUUUAAAUCCAGCCCCGGCCA